Molecule: non-coding RNA, 1019 nt
Organism: Nicotiana tabacum (common tobacco)
Lineage: Eukaryota; Viridiplantae; Streptophyta; Magnoliopsida; Solanales; Solanaceae
Source: RefSeq, a predicted model, not a curated record
AUUAAGUUUUCAGCUAUUUCUUUGUGCAUAAAAAAAACUUUCAAAUCCUGGAUUACUUCUCCAAUUCUCUUUGUCUUCCUCAAAUUUCUUCUACCUGCUGGAUAUUUGAGACUUUUCACAAUGCUUAAUUGAGACACGGCUGUUAAACCUUGGAACAUGGCUUUUAUCUGAAGAUGAAUAGCCACAUAUCAGAACAAGGAUGCUCUUUGUUCUGAAACCUUUAUGCUCUUUGCUGGUUCGAGUAAAGUUCAGGAAAUUCAUCAAAAUUCUUAAUUUCAGGGGUUCUAUGUUGUUUGAUUAUGUCUGGAUACAAGGAAACUCAAACUAGUAGAUGCAAUCAAACCUUUUCUUUUGCUUUUGUAUUUGUGGAAUAAAAGGUAUGAAUCAUUAACGCUCAUUUUUUUCCUGAUUUUUAAUGUUUCUAAUAGGUUUUCAAUAUAUUUGCCUUGUAUUUUGAUGAUCUAACAAAGUUAAUGUCAAGAACCAGAUAGAGAACCUGACUCACUUGGAUUACACUACAUCUAACAGAUUCCAACCAAAUGUGAACUUGAUACAACUUUAGGAGUAGGAACCCAGACAAGGACCUGAUACUCUUGUGGGUUCCUCACGGUAGUACAAAGUCAAUUGGACACAUCUAGAAAUGAAGAUUCUGCCGCACUGCACUGUUUCCAGCGCCCACUUAUUCUCUGAUCAACUAAAGUACAAUGAUUCAAGUUACUCAACUCAAGACAAUCUGUGCAGUCUGCACAAGUACCAAAUCAGGAACCUGAUCCCUUGGUGCUCCCCUGACAGAAGUACAACUCAACUAUACAUCUGGAUCGCAACUGCAUAAAGUGACUAUCCGCAACUGUAGAAAGAGGAACACAACAGGGACCUGAUCCCUCAGAGUUCUCUGACAGAAGUACAAGUCAACUAUACAGCUGGAACACAACUGAGUGACUGUCCACAAAUGUACAAAGAGAAACACAACAGGGACCUGGUCCCUUAGGGUUCUCUAACAGAAGUACAAAGUCAACUAC